RNAcentral lists this ribosomal RNA (174 nucleotides) under Boana nympha. Its description in RNAcentral is "partial 16S ribosomal RNA". Lineage: Eukaryota; Metazoa; Chordata; Amphibia; Anura; Hylidae. The record is from RNAcentral.
ACGUGAUCUGAGUUCAGACCGGAGUAAUCCAGGUCAGUUUCUAUCUAUAAAGAGCUUUUUCUAGUACGAAAGGACCGAAAAAACAUGGCCAAUAAAUCAUUUAAGCCAUAAAAACAACUAAUGCCAACAACUAAAUUAGUGACCAACCUAACAUACUCUCUCAAGAAAAGAGAA